This 593-nucleotide ribosomal RNA is filed under the name Lecidea auriculata. RNAcentral's name for it is "SSU rRNA". It matches the Rfam family "Bacterial small subunit ribosomal RNA", at positions 361 to 964 of the family's 1533-position model. The record is from RNAcentral. Lineage: Eukaryota; Fungi; Ascomycota; Lecanoromycetes; Lecideales; Lecideaceae.
AUAUUGGUCAAUAGCCUAACGGCUGAACCAGCAACUUGGAGGAAUGAACGGCAAUAGCUGGUUGCACUAACAAUAACUUAGUGCAAAAUUGACUCUGUCGAAUAAAAUUCUAGGUAGAAGUAUGAUAAUGACAUUAUCUAUCUAUGUGUCUUGACCAAAUUACGUGCCAGCAGUCGCGGUAAUACGUAAAAGACUAGUGUUAUUCAUCUUUAAUAGGUUUAAAGGGUACUUAGACGGUAGAUCAAGCCCAAAAAGGGAACUAAUUUACUAGAGUUUGAUGUAAGGAAGUAUAAAAGUACUGUUGGUGUAGAGAUAAAAUUCUAUCAUACCAAAUAUGGCACAGGUUUAGGCGAAAGCAUCUUCUUAUGUAAUAACUGACGUUGAAGGACGAAGGCUUUGUGUCUCGAACAGGAUUAGAUACCCCAGUAGUCUAAGCAGACAAUGAUGAAUGUCAUAGAUUAGAUUUAAUUUAUUCUAUAAAUGAAAGUGUAAGCAUUCCACCUCAAGAGUAAUUUGGCAACAUUGGAAUUGAAAUCAUUAGACCGUUUCUGAAACCAGUAGUGAAGUAUGUUAUUUAAUUCGAUAAUCCGCCA